Molecule: ribosomal RNA, 497 nt
Filed under: uncultured bacterium
Lineage: Bacteria
Description: partial 16S ribosomal RNA
Rfam family: Bacterial small subunit ribosomal RNA
Source: RNAcentral
GAUGAACGCUGGCGGCGUGCCUAAUACAUGCAAGUCGAGCGAACAGAUGAGGAGCUUGCUCCUCUGACGUUAGCGGCGGACGGGUGAGUAACACGUGGAUAACCUACCUAUAAGACUGGGAUAACUUCGGGAAACCGGAGCUAAUACCGGAUAAUAUAUUGAACCGCAUGGUUCAAUAGUGAAAGACGGUUUUGCUGUCACUUAUAGAUGGAUCCGCGCCGCAUUAGCUAGUUGGUAAGGUAACGGCUUACCAAGGCAACGAUGCGUAGCCGACCUGAGAGGGUGAUAGGCCACCCUGGAACUGAGACACGCUCCAGACUCCUACGGGAGGCAGCAGUAGGGAAUCUUCCGCAAUGGGCGAAAGCCUGACGGAGCAACGCCGCGUGAGUGAUGAAGGUCUUCGGAUCGUAAAACUCUGUUAUUAGGGAAGAACAAAUGUGUAAGUAACUAUGCACGUCUUGACGGUACCUAAUCAGAAAGCCACGGCUAACUACGUG